AACCUAUGCAUCAGACACUUAUACAACAAUUCUUUGAAACUUUCUCAAGCUUCAUAAAGAUUUUCACCCUUCAAUUGCUUAAAUGAUGUGAGACCAUUCCUUAGCUU
Hibiscus syriacus is the source of this 107-nucleotide small nucleolar RNA. NCBI's taxonomy places the organism in Eukaryota, Viridiplantae, Streptophyta, Magnoliopsida, Malvales, Malvaceae. The record is from RefSeq and is a predicted model, not a curated record.